Molecule: ribosomal RNA, 492 nt
Filed under: uncultured bacterium
Lineage: Bacteria
Description: partial 16S ribosomal RNA
Rfam family: Bacterial small subunit ribosomal RNA
Source: RNAcentral
AGUGAACGCUGGCGGUAGGCCUAACACAUGCAAGUCGAACGGCAGCACAGUAAGAGCUUGCUCUUACGGGUGGCGAGUGGCGGACGGGUGAGGAAUACAUCGGAAUCUACUUUUUCGUGGGGGAUAACGUAGGGAAACUUACGCUAAUACCGCAUACGACCUACGGGGGAAAGCAGGGGAUCUUCCGACCUUGCGCGAUUGAAUGAGCCGAUGUCGGAUUAGCUAGUUGGCGGGGUAAAGGCCCACCAAGGCGACGAUCCGUAGCUGGUCUGAGAGGAUGAUCAGCCACACUGGAACUGAGACACGGUCCAGACUCCUACGGGAGGCAGCAGUGGGGAAUAUUGGACAAUGGGCGCAAGCCUGAUCCAGCCAUACCGCGUGGGUGAAGAAGGCCUUCGGGUUGUAAAGCCCUUUUGUUGGGAAAGAAAAGCAGCAGGUUAAUACCCCGCUGUUCUGACGGUACCCAAAGAAUAAGCACCGGCUAACUUCGUG